GCGUUAUAGAUAUUGCGAUUUCUCCGCAGCAGGCCACCAUCUCUGCAUUACUGAGUCAUGUGCGUAAAGCGGAUAUCGUCGGCGUUUCCUCACUACGUCGCGGGGUUGCCGAAGCCAUCGAAGCCGUCGCGCACGGUGAUGAAAGCACUUCCCGCGUGGUUGGCCGCGUCAUUGACGAAAUAAAACUGCCACCAGGCACCAUUAUUGGCGCGGUCGUUCGUGGUAAUGAUGUCAUGAUUGCUAAUGACAAUUUGCGCAUUGAACAAGGCGAUCACGUCAUUAUGUUUUUGACCGAUAAAAAGUUUAUUACCGACGUCGAACGUCUGUUCCAGCCAAGUCCUUUCUUCCUCUAAUUUAAGGGGCGCUCAUUCAGCGCCCUUUUUAAUUCCCUUUAUUUAUCAAGGUUUAAUUUAUUUCGCUAAACAGAAGC
Molecule: unclassified non-coding RNA, 430 nt
Filed under: uncultured fungus
Lineage: Eukaryota; Fungi
Description: partial internal transcribed spacer 1
Source: RNAcentral